AGGACAAUGUGGCGAAAAUGGAAGUUCAGCUGGCGAGGGAUGUUGUGCCAUUCAAUUUCUUGACGCCAAUGAGAAUCAUUCGAGAUGCUAUUUCGGCUCUCGGCAGCCCUGCGCCCAUAUUGGUCUCUGAAGGGGCCAAUACAAUGGAUGUGGGUCGCUCAGUUUUGGUUCAGACUGAGCCAAGAUCCAGGUUGGAUGCUGG
This 202-nucleotide unclassified non-coding RNA is filed under the name Hevea brasiliensis (rubber tree). The record is from RNAcentral. Lineage: Eukaryota; Viridiplantae; Streptophyta; Magnoliopsida; Malpighiales; Euphorbiaceae.